CAGACUGUUGAUUUCCAACUAAGGAUGGGGGGAAAGUGAAAACAAUGGAAAUAAAAGGUCAAAGAAUCCCUCAGCACUUCUCCUUGCUGCUGCCAUAUGAAGAAGGAUGUGUUUGCUUCCCCAUCUGCCAUGAUUGUAAGUUUCCUGAGGCCUCUCCAGCCAUGCUGAACUAAUGCAUGCGAUUUGUUAAUCAUGAUGGAGAUCUCAGAUGCUUUUGAAGAGGCUGAACUGAUAUGAGAAAGUCUUAACCAGUUGUUGCUUCUUUGAAGAAGAAGGAAGGGGCCACAAGCCAAGGAAUGUGGUGGCAUCUAGACACUGGAAAAAGCAAGAAAAUGAAUUCUCCACUAAAGCAUCCAGAAACACAGCUCUAAAGAUCCCCAGUUUUAGUCCAGUAUGACCCAUGUUGGACUUCUAAACCAUAGAAUUGUAAGAUACUAAAUUUAUGCUGUUUUAAACCAUUAUGUUCAUGAUAAUUUGUUACAGUAGCCAUAGAAAUCUAAUAAAAUUGAGA
Molecule: long non-coding RNA, 511 nt
Organism: Homo sapiens (human)
Lineage: Eukaryota; Metazoa; Chordata; Mammalia; Primates; Hominidae
Source: Ensembl